AGGUCUCAUCAAUUUUAUUUAUUUAAUCACAUUCAAAUAAAUAAUGUCCUAUUACAACUCCUAGUCCAAAGUUAAUGAAAUUAGUAGCAUAUGAUAUCCCCACUAUUCGUUUUCAUAAAACAAAUCAAUAUCAAAACAUUUUCAAAAUAUUGGAGAUAUAUAUAACUACUAAUUGUAUUCAUUAUAUUUUAGUAGCGUAUGAUACUCCCACUAUUUGUUUUAAGAAAAACAAAUCAAUAUCAAAAACGAAUUUUUUCAAAUAUUGGAAGUAACUACUACUACUAAGGUUUUUGCAUUCCUUUGAAAUUGGACUUUAUAGUUAUCUUAGGCUCUUGGAUGACCAUGGACUUAUUAGGUUAUUGCAACAACGAGCCAACAUUGUUGAAUAUAAACUCGGGGAGGUUGUGUCAAUUUAAUUACGUGCUUUUCAAUCCAAUUAAAACAUCUUCAUUGAGCCAUUAGAAAUGAAAGACAAUCAUUCAUUGCUAAUUAGGGCAUUGGACCCAUUUAAUCUUUAAUCUCAUGUAAAAAAAAAACCUUCUUUUAGUUAUGUCUCCUUACCAAUAGUUAAAGAAACUCUAGUCUAGCACUAGUGGGAAUCAACUAACUAAAAGAGAUUAAGAAGUAAUAAGAAUUACAAACCGAUUUGUACAAAUUCCUAUAAAUUACACAUACUAAAAGGGGAGAGAUAGAUUAAUGUCAAACGUGACAAGGUCCAAUUAAACAGUAAUUAAAACACAUUCCCAAGGUUCAAACAAUUUGAUUUUAGCGCCUUAUCUCAUAGCUCAAUUAUCGUUUAAGGCAUAAGUCCAUAGUCACCCUUUUCUAACUACUUAAUCACAUUAAAUAAUCAAAAUGGAAUGCAACAUGAACAUUUAGAUUUAGUGCAUAUGGGCAUAAUAGUAUUAUGAGUUUAAACAACUAACAAAAUUAAAAUCAAAUAUUUUAACUUUCUAGUUAGUAGGGGCCUAAAUGCAAAUAAGAAAAAAUUAGGGGUCAAACCGUAAAUACUCAAAAGUAUAAAAUAUAUUUUUCCAAAUAACAAAAAACCCCACAAGUGGAUAAAUCCACUAUGGUGGCCAGCCACAUUAAGGGGAGAUGGGAAGUCUCACCCAUCUUGCUUUAAUUCAAUGCAAAGUAGAAAAAAUCCAAAUUUGCUUGUCACUUGGUUUUGGCAUUAAAACUUAGGUGAAAAUGGUUGAUGGAAAUUUCCUAGUCAAGUCUAGGAUUGAAUAAAUUUUUGGGAAGGCUAUGGAUGAUAAGUUUAUCAUCCAAAACCAUAAAACAAUUUAUGAAAACCAAAUAAAACCAUUUUCACCAAAAACAAAACAUGAACACCAAGAACAAAACCAUGAACACAUUUUCAAGAUUUGUGUAUUCUUGGUGAUUUUUCAAACCCAAAAACUAAAGUGACAAGGGCUCUACUUUCUAGCUUUAAAAUGAUGUGUGAGUGUCUUACAACAAAACACAAACACAUGCCCAAAAAACCCCCUUAAUGCCGUGCCUACCACAAGGAACAAAACCCAAAUUUUGUUCACAACUUACUCUUCAUUCAUGCAUCCAAAACACCUUUUUACAUGCAUAUCUUUUUCAACUCUUGAUUUAUAUUUUUCAACCAUUGAAAAACAAAAGAUAAACAUACUUUAAAUGAAGAAAUAAUAUGUCAAACUAGUUCAAAACUCAAUUUUCAUUCAUGCAUACAAAACAACUUUUGCAUACAUAUCUUUCUCAACUAUUGACUAACAUUUUUCAACUA
RNAcentral lists this long non-coding RNA (1756 nucleotides) under Malus domestica (apple). Its description in RNAcentral is "long non-coding RNA (MDOM_LNC018066)". Lineage: Eukaryota; Viridiplantae; Streptophyta; Magnoliopsida; Rosales; Rosaceae. The record is from RNAcentral.